CUUGGUGGGAGCAACGUGCACACGGCGAUCGGAGAAAAGCGAUCGGUAUUACGUAGCUCAGCCCGAGGCCUGCACGUGCCCCGGACACUGCUGUACUCUACCACACUCCACAAUGCUCCUGGACACUCCUGCACUCUACCACACUCCUGGCUGCUUCCCAGGGUGCAGAAUCGCUGGCAGCAGAGAAUACAGAUCAGCUGGAGUCCAGACGACCCCUCUGAUUACAGCUACAGCGCCGUGACUCUCUUCGCCCUUCGUCUUCCUCGCUGUGGCCCUGGGGGAAGAGUUGAGCGUGAGGUUGGAGCUGCUCUCGAUGCACUUAGUUCCCUCCCACCUGUUUCUGCACGUAGCACUGAAGGCUUCCAUACUACCAGCCGAGAAGAAGCCGCAUACAUUUUCGCUCUGCCUGUAUCCAUCUCUGAAGUUCUUCGGGUGCCCACCUCUCCUCGCUCGCCGAUUGCCACUUGUCAGAUAAUCCACAUAUGAUGUGGGGGCCAAUUGACCGUGAAGGUGACUAACCAAAAAGCUCUUGCUACAAGCCUUGCCAUACUCACCUGUCAAAACCCAGAUAGCUCAGCCCAGGGAAAGGGCCCGGGGCUGACGAGGCAAGGCGGUGGAACCGAACUCCCCGGAAAACGCACCACCUCGCCAUUCAAACGCCGCUGAUCGGCGUCAUCGAGGCAGCUCCGGAGAAAGGUCCAGGACGCCGUCGUUAUGAUUCAGCACACGGGAGUGGCGGAUGGGGGGAAAAAAGAGAGAGAGAGAGACGGAGAUAUCGCAGCGCUCGAGGAGAGCACGCCGAGACGAGCAUCUCUGCAGAACUCUCCGGGUUCUUGUGAGAUCUCGCCGAGAUUGCUUCUUACAAGCGUGUGCGGGCUUACUUAACCAAACGCACAGUGUAGGGGGCAGCCAACCACGCGCCUGCCUGCCUGUCUGUCCCGCCCUCCUUUGCCCCUACGCAAAUCGCUCUGCUGUCGGUUAGGAUAAAUCGGGCCGGCCAUGAGCGGGGAGCGUAGAUUAUGGUAGAUUUGUGUCGCCCAGUGUUGCUGCGUCUAGUAUUCACGGCCCGGCUGCUAUAAGAAGAGCUUUAGCUGCCAUUGAUCUGGCUGUGUCGGGAUGGAAGUGCUUCUCCGUCAGGUAGGUCAGCAAGCACCAGGCGGCCGAGCGCUGCUUUGCCUCGGGACUCGGCGCUUGGACCUCCCAGCGCGGCGACCGGGGUGAGAGAUGUCACCUUUGUGUUGAGUCAGAGACCCAUGGCACACUUGCGUAAAUGGUUCUAUUCACAUGCUUAUAUGGGACUAUGACCGGUUGGCAGAACCACACUGGAUAGGAGGGAGAGAAGGGGUGUGCUACCGAGAGCUGCUUUAUUUGAUCGAAUUGGGACAGGCGGCGAUUGGAGGAAGCGACAAGUCAGAGGUGGCCAGCCGAGGCCAACGAGGCAGAGAACCGGUGGACGGAGCCUUAGCAAUUCAGUUCUACGCAGUCUGGCGUCGUUUAAAUCCUUGCUCUACUCUGGACUCUUUGCGAGGGAAUAAAGCAGCAGUGUCAUGGAAAGCUUAUGGCAGGGAAUCUUAUCUCCCACCGAGCCCACGGAGCCUCCGAACGCCAGCAGCGAAGGUUCACUGGGAUCCUACGGGUAGCUCACGCAGGCCAGAUUUGCACUUCUGAAGUCUCGGAGGAUCUCGGACGGUUCAUCCUCUUUAGGAAGAGCCCCUAUGAUUCCUCAUUCUGUGAUGGCAGGAUGAUCCCGACUCUAAUCGAGGCCGGCCCAGCGUCUUGCUGUCCCGCUAAUCCUCUUCCCUGCCUUUUCUACUCUCCGUUUCCCUGCUACCCCAGGCUCCCUCGGCCAGCGCUUAAAGUAGGCGACGGUGCGGACCCCGCCGCAGAGAUGGAUCCCUACCCGGAUUUAGCCGACUUUGCAGGGAGGGAUUAACACGGCAGUUAAAGUUGGAGUCUCACCCGACCCGCCUGGGCCUCGGCCGACCGCAGGGGUCGACGGGUUACGUCCGUGGACCCUCGUCCACGGCGCUCCGUGUAGUCAGCGUCCGAUCCCUUCCACCAUCGCGUCGCUCUCACUCCCCGCUCAUCAGACCCUGUCUAAUGGGAAUGACGAAACAGGAGAGAAACAUUAGGAGCUCAUCUCUGACGUAACUAUAAAAUAAAUGAUGUGUUUGUAUUUGUGUCCUGCGUGACAGAUCUCAUUACGUUAUCCAGUGUCCCUGCUGAGACACACUGGAUUCUCACUAAUUAUGAAGCCUUUUUCUGAGUUGAAGUGCGUAGGACGGAAAACCUCACAGUAUAUUACAAAUGUAUGUGCAGCGUGUAUUAUAAAUAUAAACCUUUUAUGUAAACGAUUAAGUGACCUAAUCAAGCUGACAGUCACACGGCUCUUUACCCAGAGUGCCCGAGUUCAGACACUAAAACGCUGUGGCUUCAGAGGCCGUACAUGUCAGACGUUAGCCAGCAGGGCACUUCACGGAACAAAUACCACAGUUGCACUUUUCAAUAGCUGAACCUGUCAGCAGAGUACUUUUUAAAAAAGGAGAAUUAUGACAAGUAUAGAUGUAUAUCAGAUGAACUGUGGGAAUUAGACUGGAACUAAAAUGCCUUGUGUCAGGUACAAAACUGCUCUGUCAGUCAGUUCUAAAUUAAAACACUAUAGGUGAGCUUUCAGUAACAAUAGAGGAAGUGUAAUUACUCCUCACACAGAGAUUGAUGGACCGGCGGUCUUAACGAAUUUUAAUAACAAAACCUCUGCCAGCCGUCUUUGGCGAGGCAUUCUGUUUUUCCCUUGGAAUUCAUUCUUCAGCACAUCAUAGCGUGUUUCUGAUGUUGUUCAUUUACAUUCACAAGGUUUGACUCUUCAAACUGUUCACGUCAGCUGUAAUUUUAGUUAUCUUAAGCGAUGAAGAAAUGUUUUAUUUUCUCACCACCAAAAAUGCGCAAUCUAAUGGAUUUGAUUCCCAUCCCGGUGGAUUCGUGCAGGCAUGCUUUUAGAAUUCAGUUGUUGAUUCACUUCUGUUAAAGUGCCAUGCUUGAUCUUCAAGGCUGUGUGACUGUGUAUCUUGGCUGGGAGCGGCACUGCCUUUUAGGGGAGGCAUUAUCUGAAGAGAAGUGACCUCAAAGACUCACAACUUUACCAGCGGAGGGAUGCGACGCAUUUAAUGUGGUGUUGCACGCGCUUCCGUAACCGUAUAGCGUUUAACGUAGAGUACAGAAACAAAUUUGAACACUUCGUCGAAUUCAGUGCCAUCAAAUAACCACAGUCCUCGUUCGGAGUAGGUGUGUGCUGUGUGUGAGAGGGUUCUGGUGCACCAAUGCUGUAAGGAUUGCGUGCAGGAUCCCUGGUCAGGGCACGAGGCGUCUCCCCCAGCGUGGACCCAUUAAUCGCACUCAUCCCAGGCGUCUGCACAGGAGCGUUACGAGGCCCCAGGGGCAGACUCGGAGAGCCUUGUUAGCCCAGUGCUCAGACUGCUUCUCCACUCUCCCCGAGACAAAUAAACUUGGUUAUGGAUCUGCUCCAGGUCCAAGCCAGACAGAGCGGGCGAGGUGGAGACAUGCGUGAGUGGGGAACGGCACCCUGUCUCUACAUGAGACCAGUAGGAGACAGGGACAGGGAGUCCCGGUCCAUCUGCUGUGUAUAUGUUCAGCAUUAAUUGCUCUUCUAAAACAUCAGAACGAGCCCUGGUGUGAUUUUGGAGAUAUCAGAGUGUUAAAGCAAGGUCAUCCUUCUCUCUGUUCAAAACCCUCUUUUCAGUAUUCAGGCAAAGUUUAGUUUUAAGUCAAUGCAUCACAACAGGGUCUUUGUAGUGAUUUGCUGUAAUUUUAGGCAAGGUUUGUUACAUGAGACACAAAGCAAAUCUCCACUGUUAAUUUCAUUAUUUUAUUGUUAUUUAUUUAUUUGUGUGUGUGUGUAAGGUUGUUGGUUACAGUGCAUGAUGAAACUAUCCCUUUUCUCAAUUAAUGUCUUUGAGAUGCUCAGGGUUUGCUAGUUUUACACUGAAGACGUAUUCCUCUGCCAUAACAUUUGACGCACGGCUCUGUCAAACCGUCAGGACUAAAGCGGCUUGUCUGCUCAGCUGCGGAUGGAGGCGGAACGCUCCGGAACUGCUCCGUUUCCGCUGUCCUUCGGUUUCCUUGCCCCUUCUGCCUGCCGGUUUUGAAAAUGAAAAAAUUGAAAUGACUGAGAUGAUGGAUCGAUGCGUUGAGAUGUUUGUCACAUUAAAUUGAAUCCUUCUGAUGGCUGGGAGAUUUGCUCUCUGUCAGACGCAGCCACACACUCAGUCUAUUGUAAACUUUCUUUUCACAGUGCUUGCUAUGUCUUAUUUUG
Electrophorus electricus (electric eel) is the source of this 4330-nucleotide non-coding RNA. Lineage: Eukaryota; Metazoa; Chordata; Actinopteri; Gymnotiformes; Gymnotidae. The record is from RefSeq and is a predicted model, not a curated record.